RNAcentral lists this non-coding RNA (875 nucleotides) under Corythoichthys flavofasciatus (network pipefish). RNAcentral describes it as "partial 12S ribosomal RNA". It matches the Rfam family "Bacterial small subunit ribosomal RNA", at positions 306 to 1522 of the family's 1533-position model. The record is from RNAcentral. Lineage: Eukaryota; Metazoa; Chordata; Actinopteri; Syngnathiformes; Syngnathidae.
AGCCCCGUGAGGAUGCCCCUAGCUCUCGUAUGAGACUAGGGAGCUGGUAUCAGGCUCACAACCGUAGCCCAAGACACCUUGCUCAGCCACCCCCCUAUGGGAAUUCAGCAGUGGUAAACAUUAAGCCAUAAGUGCAAACUUGACUUAGUAAAAGCUAAGAGGGCCGGUAAAGCUCGUGCCAGCCACCGCGGUUAUACGAGAGGCCCAAGAUGACAGGCCCCGGCGUAAAGGGUGGUUAAGACGAUAUUUCACUAAAGCCAAACACCCUUCCUGCUGUAAUACACUCAUAGGGGUAGGAAGCCCAUCUACGAAAGUUGCUUUAAACCUCUGACGCCACGAAAGCUAGGGAACAAACUGGGAUUAGGUACCCCACUAUGCCUAGCCGUAAACAUUGAUUAUUUAAUACCAUACAUCCGCCUGGGAACUACGAGCACCAGCUUGAAACCCAAAGGACUUGGCGGUGCCUUAGACCCCCCUAGAGGAGCCUGUUCUAGAACUGAUAAUCCCCGUUUAACCUCACCCUCUCUUGCUUUUCCCACCUAUAUACCGCCGUCGUCAGCUCACCCUGUGAAGGCCUUUCAGUAAGCAAGGUUGGCUCGCCCCAAAACGUCAGGUCGAGGUGUAGUUUAUGGGAGGGGAAGAAAUGGGCUACAUUCGUUUAUCAACGCACACGAAUGAUUAAUUGAAACAUUUAUCUGAAGGAGGAUUUAGCAGUAAGAUGGGAUUAGAGAGCCCGCCUGAAACUGGCCCUGAGGCGCGCACACACCGCCCGUCACUCUCCCCUAACACAUCCAAUAGUUUUACCUAAAAAGCCAUAACACACAAGGGGAGGCAAGUCGUAACAUGGUAAGCUUACCGGAAGGUGCGCUUGGAAU